AUACGUAGGGGGCGAGCGUUGUCCGGAAUGAUUGGGCGUAAAGGGCGCGUAGGCGGCGCGGUAAGUCUGGAGUGAAAGUCCUGCUUUCAAGGUGGGAAUUGCUUUGGAUACUGCCGCGCUUGAGUGCGGGAGAGGUUAUCGGAAUUCCCGGUGUAGCGGUGAAAUGCGUAGAGAUCGGGAGGAACACCAGUGGCGAAGGCGGGUAACUGGACUGCAACUGACGCUGAGGCGCGAAAGUGUGGGGAGCAAACAGGAUUAGAUACCCUGGUAGUCCACACUGUAAACGAUGAAUGCUAGGUGUAGGGGGUAUCGACCCCUUCUGUGCCGCAGUCAACACAAUAAGCAUUCCGCCUGGGGAGUACGGCCGCAAGGUUGAAACUCAAAUGAAUUGACGGGG
This 397-nucleotide ribosomal RNA is filed under the name uncultured bacterium. RNAcentral describes it as "partial 16S ribosomal RNA". It matches the Rfam family "Bacterial small subunit ribosomal RNA", at positions 523 to 918 of the family's 1533-position model. The record is from RNAcentral.